Molecule: ribosomal RNA, 773 nt
Filed under: uncultured Neocallimastigales
Lineage: Eukaryota; Fungi; Neocallimastigomycota; Neocallimastigomycetes; Neocallimastigales
Description: partial large subunit ribosomal RNA
Rfam family: Eukaryotic large subunit ribosomal RNA
Source: RNAcentral
ACUAGAGUAGCACUCGCAUAUCAAUAAGCGGAGGAAAAGAAACUAACAAGGAUUCCCCUAGUAACGGCGAGUGAAGCGGGAAGAGCUCAAAUUUGAAAUCUUAAAGGGUUUCCCUUUACGAAUUGUAGUUUAAAGAAGUGUUUUCUGUUGAGGUUUUGGUAAAGGUUCUUUGGAAUAGGACAUCAUAGAGGGUGAGAAUCCCGUAUUUGACCUUUACUUUCAACUUUGUGAUACACUUUCAAAGAGUCGGAUUGUUUGGGAAUGCAGUCCAAAAUGGGUGGUAAAUUUCAUCUAAAGCUAAAUAUUGGCGAGAGACCGAUAGCGAACAAGUACCGUGAGGGAAAGAUGAAAAGAACUUUGAAAAGAGAGUUAAACAGUACGUGAAAUUGUCAAAAGGGAAGCGUUUGACACCAGUGUUGUUUUUCUGAAAAUCAAUUAAAGAACUGUUUAUGCUAAGCUGUUUAGACUUUAUCAGCUAUCUGUUUAGUUUUGAGCUUUUCUUUAAUGCACUUUUCAGUUAACAAGUCAACAUCAAUUUCUUUUGCUGUAAAAAAGCUUGAGGAAGGUGGCUUGAGAUUCGUCUUAAGUGUUUAUAGCCUCUUGCCUAUGCAGUCGGAGAGAUUGAGGUCUGCAGCGUAGAUCCUUCGGGGCUAAAUGCAUUUGUGCUAAGUUAUAGCAUUUUAUAGACAACUUGUUGACUAUGAUUUGUCUUGUAGCUUACUCGCUUAUGUUAUUUUACCUACGCUUAGGAUGUUGAUCUACAGAGCGAGAGU